GCUGGGUGAAGCAAAUGGUGAAAACAAGAAAAGACAAGAGGUUUCAGGGUCUGCAGGGGACAGACAACAAGGAAACACUUAGAAAUCAAGAGCAAGCUGAGCGAUACAGAAAGGGAGCAGGGAUGAACCCGUGUUGCUCUGUAAACAUCUUGGAGCUCGGAAUUUUUCGGUGCCUUGUUGUGAUCUGAGGGAAUGAUCUACGUCAUGGUGCAAAGAAACCUUAAGAAAAUUCUAAUCUAGAACAAGCUCCCAGAGAUGUUGACUGCCUAACUUAACCAUGAACAUGAUUUAAAAAUGUUAAUAUAUGAACCAAGACCAUGGGGAACUCGUAUGCUGGGCAAUUGAAAUCUGCUAGAUUUGAGGAAGCUCUACACAACUCCAUAGAAGCCUCGCUCAGAUGUAGUACUGCAGUGCCACGGCCAAU
Molecule: long non-coding RNA, 424 nt
Filed under: Rattus norvegicus (Norway rat)
Lineage: Eukaryota; Metazoa; Chordata; Mammalia; Rodentia; Muridae
Description: long non-coding RNA NONRATT013206
Source: RNAcentral